RNAcentral lists this ribosomal RNA (491 nucleotides) under uncultured bacterium. RNAcentral describes it as "partial 16S ribosomal RNA". It matches the Rfam family "Bacterial small subunit ribosomal RNA", at positions 39 to 506 of the family's 1533-position model. The record is from RNAcentral.
GGGGGGGGGGGGGGGUGGGGGGCGGGGGGGGCGGGCGAAACGGGGGGCAGUGGAGGAUGUGGAGUCGGGGGGCGGAGUGGCGGCGGGGGGGGUAAGACCGGGGGGUCUGCGGUGUCGUGGGGGAUAGCGCAGGGACUCGUACGCUCAUACGGCCGCCGACCUACGUCGGUAGGCCGUGCAUCUGCCAACCCGUCAACACGUCCACUGCCGAUGUCGGUUUAGCUAGUUGGCGGGUUCAAGGCCUACCAGGGCGACGAUCCGUAGCUGGUCUGAGAGGAUGAUCAGCCACACUGGAACUGAGACACGGUCCAGACUCCUACGGGAGGCAGCAGUGGGGAAUAUUGGACAAUGGGCGCAAGCCUGAUCCAGCCAUACCGCGUGGGUGAAGAAGGCCUUCGGGUUGUAAAGCCCUUUUGUUGGGAAAGAAAAGCAGCAGGUUAAUACCCCGCUGUUCUGACGGUACCCAAAGAAUAAGCACCGGCUAACUUCGU